This 292-nucleotide ribosomal RNA is filed under the name uncultured bacterium. Its description in RNAcentral is "partial 16S ribosomal RNA". It matches the Rfam family "Bacterial small subunit ribosomal RNA", at positions 505 to 796 of the family's 1533-position model. The record is from RNAcentral.
GUGUCAGCAGCCGCGGUAAUACAGAGGGUGCGAGCGUUAAUCGGAAUUACUGGGCGUAAAGCGCGCGUAGGCGGCUUUGCAAGUCGGGUGUGAAAUCCCCAGGCUUAACCUGGGAACUGCAUUCGAGACUGCAUUGCUAGAGUAUGGGAGAGGGAAGUGGAAUUUCCGGUGUAGCGGUGAAAUGCGUAGAUAUCGGAAGGAACAUCAGUGGCGAAAGCGACUUCCUGGACCAAUACUGACGCUCAUGUGCGAAAGCGUGGGGAGCAAACAGGAUUAGAAACCCCCGUAGUCC